UAAGCAUGAAGCCCCCCUCGAGAUGAGAUUUCCCAACUUCGGUUAUAAGAUCCCUCAAAGAUGAUGAGGUGAAUAGGUUCGAGGUGGAAGCGUAGCGAUACGUGGAGCUGACGAAUACUAAUCGAUCGAAGACUUAAUCAA
This 141-nucleotide ribosomal RNA is filed under the name Staphylococcus pseudintermedius. RNAcentral describes it as "partial 23S ribosomal RNA". It matches the Rfam family "Bacterial large subunit ribosomal RNA", at positions 2782 to 2925 of the family's 2925-position model. The record is from RNAcentral. Lineage: Bacteria; Bacillati; Bacillota; Bacilli; Caryophanales; Staphylococcaceae.